CAGCCGUAAACUAUGCUCGCUAGGUGUCAGGCAUGGCGCGACCGUGUCUGGUGCCGCAGGGAAGCCGUGAAGCGAGCCACCUGGGAAGUACGGCCGCAAGGCUGAAACUUAAAGGAAUUGGCGGGGGGAGCACAACAACGGGUGGAGCCUGCGGUUUAAUUGGACUCAACGCCGGGAAGCUCACCGGAUAAGACAGCGGAAUGAUUGCCGGGCUGAAGACUCUGCAUGACUAGCUGAGAGGAGGUGCAUGGCGUAGACGUCU
RNAcentral lists this ribosomal RNA (262 nucleotides) under uncultured archaeon. RNAcentral describes it as "partial 16S ribosomal RNA". It matches the Rfam family "Archaeal small subunit ribosomal RNA", at positions 748 to 1009 of the family's 1478-position model. The record is from RNAcentral.